RNAcentral lists this unclassified non-coding RNA (251 nucleotides) under uncultured fungus. Its description in RNAcentral is "partial contains 5.8S ribosomal RNA, internal transcribed spacer 2, and large subunit ribosomal RNA". Lineage: Eukaryota; Fungi. The record is from RNAcentral.
AACGCACAUUGCGCCCCUUGGUAUUCCAUUGGGCAUGCCUGUUCGAGCGUCAUUUACACCCUCAAGCUACGCUUGGUGUUGGGCGUCUGUCCCCGCUUCCCGCGAGGACUCGCCCCAAAUCCAUUGGCAGCGGCAUCGCCGGCUUCUCGCGCAGCACAUUGCGCUCCAGAAGGCUCCCGGCGGGCUCGCGUCCAGCAAGAACCCCCCCCCAGUUUGACCUCGAAUCAGGUAGGGAUACCCGCUGAACUUAA